GCCGCCUUGGCGCAGCGGUAGCGCGGCGGUUUUGUAAACCGCAGGUCACCCGUUCGAAUCGGGUAGGCGGCUCCA
Molecule: transfer RNA, 75 nt
Filed under: Planctomycetota bacterium
Lineage: Bacteria; Pseudomonadati; Planctomycetota
Description: tRNA-Thr
Rfam family: tRNA
About the family: Transfer RNA (tRNA) molecules are approximately 80 nucleotides in length. Their secondary structure includes four short double-helical elements and three loops (D, anti-codon, and T loops). Further hydrogen bonds mediate the characteristic L-shaped molecular structure. tRNAs have two regions of fundamental functional importance: the anti-codon, which is responsible for specific mRNA codon recognition, and the 3' end, to which the tRNAs corresponding amino acid is attached (by aminoacyl-tRNA synthetases). tRNAs cope with the degeneracy of the genetic code in two manners: having more than one tRNA (with a specific anti-codon) for a particular amino acid; and 'wobble' base-pairing, i.e. permitting non-standard base-pairing at the 3rd anti-codon position.
Source: RNAcentral